GAUGAAGAACGCAGCGAAAUGCGAUACGUAAUGUGAAUUGCAGAAUUCAGUGAAUCAUCGAGUCUUUGAACGCACAUUGCGCCCGCCAGCAUUCUGGCGGGCAUGCCUGUUCGAGCGUCAUUUCAACCCUCGACCUCCCCUUGGGGAGGUCGGCGUUGGGGACCGGCAGCACACCGCCGGCCCUGAAAUGGAGUGGCGGCCCGUCCGCGGCGACCUCUGCGCAGUAAUACAGCUCGCACCGGGACCCCGACGCGGCCACGCCGUAAAACACCCAACUUCUGAACGUUGACCUCGAAUCAGGUAGGACUACCCGCUGAACUUAAGCAUAUCAAUAAGCGGAGGA
RNAcentral lists this unclassified non-coding RNA (343 nucleotides) under soil metagenome. RNAcentral describes it as "partial contains 5.8S ribosomal RNA, internal transcribed spacer 2, and large subunit ribosomal RNA". The stretch from base 1 to 120 matches the Rfam family "5.8S ribosomal RNA", at positions 35 to 154 of the family's 154-position model. The record is from RNAcentral.